GACGAACGCUGGCGGCGUGCUUAACACAUGCAAGUCGAACGGUGAAGCGCCUUCCUUUUUGGUGGGUGUGGAUGAGUGGCGAACGGGUGAGUAACACGUGAGUAACCUGCCCCCUUCUUCUGGAUAACCGCAUGAAAGUGUGGCUAAUACGGGAUAUUCUGGGUCUGUCGCAUGAUGGGUCUGGGAAAGAUAUUGUUUCGGUGGGGGAUGGGCUCGCGGCCUAUCAGCUUGAUGGUGGGGUGAUGGCCUACCAAGGCGGUGACGGGUAGCCGGCCUGAGAGGGUGGACGGUCACACUGGGACUGAGACACGGCCCAGACUCCUACGGGAGGCAGCAGUGGGGAAUAUUGCACAAUGGGCGCAAGCCUGAUGCAGCGACGCCGCGUGAGGGAUGGAGGCCUUCGGGUUGUGAACCUCUUUCGCCAGUGAAGCAGGCCUGCCUCGUUUGUGGGUGGGUUGACGGUAGCUGGAUAAGAAGCGCCGGCUAACUACGUG
RNAcentral lists this ribosomal RNA (494 nucleotides) under uncultured bacterium. Its description in RNAcentral is "partial 16S ribosomal RNA". It matches the Rfam family "Bacterial small subunit ribosomal RNA", at positions 28 to 507 of the family's 1533-position model. The record is from RNAcentral.